ACGCUCGACACCUACGGGAGCAGCAGUGGGGAAUAUUGCACAAUGGAGGAAACUCUGAUGCAGCGAUGCCGCGUGAGGGAAGAAGGUUUUCGGAUUGUAAACCUCUGUCUUUGGGGACGAUAAUGACGGUACCCAAGGAGGAAGCUCCGGCUAACUACGUCNNNNCGCGAGUAUNGNGGCGGNGNGAGAG
Molecule: ribosomal RNA, 190 nt
Filed under: uncultured bacterium
Lineage: Bacteria
Description: partial 16S ribosomal RNA
Rfam family: Bacterial small subunit ribosomal RNA
Source: RNAcentral